CACAUAUGUGCGUUGAAGUACACAAACCAGGACGGUGUCCACACUACUCGAGUUAUGCCUGUCUUGUGACCUGCCUGAGUGACAAAGAUUGCCCUAGAGGACUGAAGUGCUGUCCUCAUUAUUGUGGAAGUCAAUGCAGACCACCCAUCUUUUAGGGAAGACGAGUGAGCUGCAGCAUACAUCCCUAUGUUCACCUUGUUUUCUUUGAAACAAUUAAGUCAAAUAAAAAUGUCAAGAAACUGCU
Molecule: long non-coding RNA, 244 nt
Organism: Austrofundulus limnaeus
Lineage: Eukaryota; Metazoa; Chordata; Actinopteri; Cyprinodontiformes; Rivulidae
Exons: 2
Source: RefSeq, a predicted model, not a curated record